UGGGGAAUUUUGCGCAAUGGGCGAAAGCCUGACGCAGCAACGCCGCGUGAGUGAUGAAGGCCUUCGGGUCGUAAAGCUCUGUCAGAGGGGAAGAACCGCCGGGUGGCUAAUACCUGCCUGGUCUGACGGUACCCUCAAAGGAAGCACCGGCUAACUCCGUGCCAGCAGCCGCGGUAAUACGGAGGGUGCAAGCGUUGUUCGGAAUUAUUGGGCGUAAAGCGCGUGUAGGCGGUUUGUUAAGUCUGGUGUGAAAGCCCUGGGCUCAACCUGGGAAGUGCAUUGGAUACUGGCAAACUUGAGUACGGGAGAGGAUAGUGGAAUUUCGAGUGUAGGGGUGAAAUCCGUAGAUAUUCGAAGGAACACCGGUGGCGAAGGCGGCUAUCUGGACCGAUACUGACGCUGAGACGCGAAAGCGUGGGGAGCAAACAGG
RNAcentral lists this ribosomal RNA (430 nucleotides) under Bacillota bacterium. RNAcentral's name for it is "Firmicutes bacterium partial 16S ribosomal RNA". It matches the Rfam family "Bacterial small subunit ribosomal RNA", at positions 355 to 776 of the family's 1533-position model. Lineage: Bacteria; Bacillati; Bacillota. RNAcentral also lists the same sequence under 1 other name. The record is from RNAcentral.